Molecule: ribosomal RNA, 1478 nt
Filed under: Clostridium sp. K5
Lineage: Bacteria; Bacillati; Bacillota; Clostridia; Eubacteriales; Clostridiaceae
Description: bacterial SSU rRNA
Rfam family: Bacterial small subunit ribosomal RNA
Source: RNAcentral
AGAGUUUGAUCCUGGCUCAGGAUGACGCUGGCGGCGUGCUUACACAUGCAAGUCGAGCGAAGCGAUUAAGGAAGUUCGGACGGAAUUAAAAUUGACUAGCGGCGGACGGGGAGUAACGCGUGGGUAACCUGCCUCAUACAGGGGGAUAACAGUAGAAAUGACUGCUAAUACCGCAUAAGCGCACAGUGCUGCAUAGCACAGUGUGAAAAACUCCGGUGGUAUGAGAUGGACCCGCGUCUGAUUAGGUAGUUGGUGAGGUAAUGGCUCACCAAGCCGACGAUCAGUAGCCGACCUGAGAGGGUGACCGGCCACAUUGGGACUGAGACACGGCCAAACUCCUACGGGAGGCAGCAGUGGGGAAUAUUGGACAAUGGGGGAAACCCUGAUCCAGCGACGCCGCGUGAGUGAAGAAGUGUUUCGGCAUGUAAAGCUCUAUCAGCAGGGAAGAAAAUGACGGUACCUGACUAAGAAGCCCCGGCUAACUACGUGCCAGCAGCCGCGGUAAUACGUAGGGGGCAAGCGUUAUCCGGAUUUACUGGGUGUAAAGGGAGCGUAGACGGUUCUGCAAGUCUGGAGUGAAAGCCCGGGGCUCAACCCCGGGACUGCUUUGGAAACUGUGGAACUAGAGUGCAGGAGAGGUAAGUGGAAUUCCUAGUGUAGCGGUGAAAUGCGUAGAUAUUAGGAGGAACACCAGUGGCGAAGGCGGCUUACUGGACUGUAACUGACGUUGAGGCUCGAAAGCGUGGGAGCAAACAGGAUUAGAUACCCUGGUAGUCACGCCGUAACGAUGAAUACUAGGUGUUGGGGAGCAAAGCUCUUCGGUGCCGCCGCUAACGCAAUAAGUAUUCCACCUGGGGAGUACGUUCGCAAGAAUGAAACUCAAAGGAAUUGACGGGGACCCGCACAAGCGGUGGAGCAUGUGGUUUAAUUCGAAGCAACGCGAAGAACCUUACCAAGUCUUGACAUCGGAAUGACCGUCCCGUAACGGGGAGCUUCCCUUCGGGGCAUUCCAGACAGGUGGUGCAUGGUUGUCGUCAGCUCGUGUCGUGAGAUGUUGGGUUGCGUCCCGCACGAGCGCACCCUUAUACUUAGUAGCCAGCAGUUCGGCUGGGCACUCUGGGGAGACUGCCAGGGAUAACCUGGAGGAAGGUGGGGAUGACGUCAAAUCAUCAUGCCCCUUAUGAUUUGGGCUACACACGUGCUACAAUGGCGUAAACAAAGGGAAGCGAAGGAGUGAUCUGGAGCAAAUCUCAAAAAUAACGUCUCAGUUCGGAUUGUAGUCUGCAACUCGACUACAUGAAGCUGGAAUCGCUAGUAAUCGCGGAUCAGAAUGCCGCGGUGAAUACGUUCCCGGGUCUUGUACACACCGCCCGUCACACCAUGGGAGUUGGUAACGCCCGAAGUCAGUGACCCAACCGUAAGGAGGGAGCUGCCGAAGGCGGGACUGAUAACUGGGGUGAAGUCGUAACAAGGUAACC